Molecule: ribosomal RNA, 112 nt
Filed under: uncultured eukaryote
Lineage: Eukaryota
Description: partial small subunit ribosomal RNA
Rfam family: Eukaryotic small subunit ribosomal RNA
Source: RNAcentral
UCGCACCUACCGAUUGGAUGGUCCGGUGAGAAUUUCGGACUUCUGUUUCAUUUCUUUCAUUAGAAAUAAACUUGGAGGAAGUUAUUCAAACCUUACCAUCUAGAGGAAGGUG